AACAAUGAUUCAUUUGCAUUUUUAUUUCACCAAGAGAAGAAACAGAAGUUGUCUGGCUUUCUUCACACCAACCAAUAAUUUCGCAUUUUUAAAGUUUGGGAUGUUUUCCAUAAUGAGCUGAAUCAAAAAUCAAGCUUGCAUGCUAAUUUGUCCUUAGUUGCAAGUAUUAUAGGCAAAUUCAUACUUUGCCUAAUGGAAGGAUAACCCUUCUUCGACAUGAUCAGGACUCAACAAUGAUU
Molecule: long non-coding RNA, 239 nt
Filed under: Bos taurus (domestic cattle)
Lineage: Eukaryota; Metazoa; Chordata; Mammalia; Artiodactyla; Bovidae
Description: long non-coding RNA NONBTAT009713
Source: RNAcentral